UGAACGCUGGCGGCGUGCUUAACACAUGCAAGUCGAACGAACCUUCGGGUUAGUGGCGGACGGGUGAGUAACGCGUGAGAAUCUGCCCUCAGGAGGGGGACAACAGCUGGAAACGGCUGCUAAUACCCCAUAUGCCGCGAGGUGAAAUGAAUUUCGCCUGAGGAUGAGCUCGCGUCUGAUUAGCUAGUUGGUGUAGGUAAUGGCUCACCAAGGCAUCGAUCAGUAGCUGGUCUGAGAGGAUGAUCAGCCACACUGGGACUGAGACACGGCCCAGACUCCUACGGGAGGCAGCAGUGGGGAAUUUUCCGCAAUGGGCGAAAGCCUGACGGAGCAACGCCGCGUGAGGGAUGAAGGCCUCUGGGCUGUAAACCUCUUUUAUCAAGGAAGAAGAUCUGACGGUACUUGAUGAAUAAGCCACGGCUAAUUCCG
This 429-nucleotide ribosomal RNA is filed under the name uncultured bacterium. Its description in RNAcentral is "bacterial SSU rRNA". It matches the Rfam family "Bacterial small subunit ribosomal RNA", at positions 30 to 505 of the family's 1533-position model. The record is from RNAcentral.